AUGGGUCAUAUGAUGAUUUUAAGCAUAGUUCAACUGAUAAUCCAUGUGAUUAUAUAACUUUUUUAGUCUUUCGCUCCUAUCUGAUGACCCCU
Molecule: non-coding RNA, 92 nt
Organism: Jatropha curcas
Lineage: Eukaryota; Viridiplantae; Streptophyta; Magnoliopsida; Malpighiales; Euphorbiaceae
Source: Rfam